GGGUUUGAUCCUGGCUCACGCAACGAACGCUAGCGGGAUGCCUCAAACAUGCAAGUCGUACGCGAAAGUCUCUUCGGAGGCGAGUAGAGUGGCGCACGGGUGCGUAACACGUAGCUAACGUACCCCUUCGAUUGGGAUAACUCCGGGAAACCGGAGCUAAUACCGAGUAUCCUGGGAAGGUCUGCGGACUUUUUCGGCAAAGCCUUAGGGCGCGAAGGGAUCGGGCUGCGGCCUAUUAGUUUGUUGGUGGGGUAACGGCCUACCAAGACUACGAUAGGUAGCUGGUCUGAGAGGAUGAUCAGCCACACUGGAACUGAGACACGGUCCAGACUCCCACGGGAGGCAGCAGUUGGGAAUCUUGCACAAUGGACGAAAGUCUGAUGCAGCAAUCCCGCGUGAGUGAUGAAGGCUUUCGGGUCGUAAAGCUCUUUCAAUGGGGAAGAUAAUGACGGUACCCAUAGAAGAAGCACCGGCUAACUACGUGCCAGCAGCCGCGGUAAUACGUAGGGUGCAAGCGUUGUUCGGAAUUAUUGGGCGUAAAGAGCGUGUAGGCGGUUUGUUAAGUCUGAUGUGAAAGCCCGGGGCUCAACCUCGGACGUGCAUUGGAUACUGGCAAGCUAGAGGAUGAGAGAGGGAAGUGGAAUUCCUGGUGUAGGGGUGAAAUCCGUAGAUAUCAGGAGGAACAUCGGAGGCGAAGGCGACUUCCUGGCUCAUUUCUGACGCUGAGACGCGAAAGCGUGGGUAGCAAACAGGAUUAGAUACCCUGAUAGUCCACGCCCUAAACGAUGGAUACUAGUCGUUGGAUCUCCUAAUAGAUUCAGUGACGUAGCUAACGCAUUAAGUAUCCCGCCUGGGGAGUACGGUCGCAGAUUAAAACUCAAAGGAAUUGACGGGGG
RNAcentral lists this ribosomal RNA (896 nucleotides) under uncultured delta proteobacterium. RNAcentral describes it as "bacterial SSU rRNA". It matches the Rfam family "Bacterial small subunit ribosomal RNA", at positions 9 to 919 of the family's 1533-position model. The record is from RNAcentral. Lineage: Bacteria; Deltaproteobacteria.